This 467-nucleotide ribosomal RNA is filed under the name uncultured bacterium. Its description in RNAcentral is "partial 16S ribosomal RNA". It matches the Rfam family "Bacterial small subunit ribosomal RNA", at positions 28 to 506 of the family's 1533-position model. The record is from RNAcentral.
GACGAACGCUGGCGGCGUGCUUAACACAUGCAAGUCGAACGGAAAGGCCCUGCUUUUGUGGGGUGCUCGAGUGGCGAACGGGUGAGUAACACGUGAGUAACCUGCCCUUGACUUUGGGAUAACUUCAGGAAACUGGGGCUAAUACCGGAUAGGAGCUCCUGCUGCAUGGUGGGGGUUGGAAAGUUUCGGCGGUUGGGGAUGGACUCGCGGCUUAUCAGCUUGUUGGUGGGGUAGUGGCUUACCAAGGCUUUGACGGGUAGCCGGCCUGAGAGGGUGACCGGCCACAUUGGGACUGAGAUACGGCCCAGACUCCUACGGGAGGCAGCAGUGGGGAAUAUGGCACAAUGGGCGGAAGCCUGAUGCAGCAACGCCGCGUGCGGGAGGACGGCCUUCGGGUUGUAAACCGCUUUCGCCUGUGACGAAGCGUGAGUGACGGUAAUGGGUAAAGAAGCACCGGCGAACUACGU